This 32-nucleotide non-coding RNA is filed under the name Mus musculus (house mouse). The record is from RNAcentral. Lineage: Eukaryota; Metazoa; Chordata; Mammalia; Rodentia; Muridae.
UNGCAGGAAUGCAUCAUGACUUCACUUAGGUC